RNAcentral lists this microRNA precursor (80 nucleotides) under Scleropages formosus (Asian bonytongue). RNAcentral describes it as "mir-17 microRNA precursor family". It matches the Rfam family "mir-17 microRNA precursor family". Rfam says of the family: This family represents the microRNA (miRNA) precursor mir-17, family, which includes mir-20, mir-91, and mir-103. miRNAs are transcribed as ~70nt precursors (modelled here) and subsequently processed by the Dicer enzyme to give a ~22nt product. In this case the mature sequence comes from the 3' arm of the precursor. The record is from Rfam by way of RNAcentral. Lineage: Eukaryota; Metazoa; Chordata; Actinopteri; Osteoglossiformes; Osteoglossidae.
UCUCAGUGUCCAAAGUGCUGUUUGUGCAGGUAGCUCACUCUCUAGCCCUACUGCAAAAUCAGCACUUCAUGACACAGAGA